Molecule: long non-coding RNA, 480 nt
Filed under: Marmota monax (woodchuck)
Lineage: Eukaryota; Metazoa; Chordata; Mammalia; Rodentia; Sciuridae
Source: RNAcentral
UGCAGGAGGCACAUGCCUGUAAUCCCAGAGACAGGGGAGGGUUAGGCAGGAGGAUCAAAAGUUUAAGGCCAGUCUCAGCAAUUUAGUGAGGCUCUAAGCAACUUAGUGAGACCCUGUCUCAGAAAAACAAAAAUAAAAAGAAGCUUUGGAGAACCAAAUGACCCCCCAAGCCCUACCAGCCUCUGGUGCUAGGAAUUGAACAUAGGGCCUUGGGCAUGCUAGGCAAGCACUACCACUGAGCUAUAUCCCAUGUCCUUAAAAAUAAUUAUGAAACGUCUUUCCUAUGUGACCUCUUUCCAUUCCCAUUAAUUAUUAAAUUUAUUUUGGUGGAGUUUAUUUUCUUAGCUGUGUAAAAGUAAUAUUUAGCCAGGUGUGGUGACACACACUUGUAAUCCCAGCAGCUUAGGAGGCUGAAGCAGGAAGAUCACAAGUUCAAAGCCAGCCUCGGCAAUUUAGCGAGGCUCUAAGCAACUUAGUAAG